CCUACGGGGGGCAGCAGUGGGGAAUAUUGGACAAUGGGCGAAAGCCUGAUCCAGCCAUGCCGCGUGUGUGAAGAAGGCCUUCGGGUUGUAAAGCACUUUCAGUGGGGAAGAAAGCCUUGGGGCUAAUACCCUCGAGGAAGGACAUCACCCACAGAAGAAGCACCGGCUAACUCCGUGCCAGCAGCCGCGGUAAUACGGAGGGUGCGAGCGUUAAUCGGAAUUACUGGGCGUAAAGCGCGCGUAGGCGGUCUGAUAAGCCGGUUGUGAAAGCCCCGGGCUCAACCUGGGAACGGCAUCCGGAACUGUCAGGCUAGAGUGCAGGAGAGGAAGGUAGAAUUCCCGGUGUAGCGGUGAAAUGCGUAGAGAUCGGGAGGAAUACCAGGGGCGAAGGCGGCCUUCUGGACUGACACUGACGCUGAGGUGCGAAAGCGUGGGUAGCAAACAGGAUUAGAUACCCCUGUAGUC
Molecule: ribosomal RNA, 465 nt
Filed under: Vreelandella stevensii
Lineage: Bacteria; Pseudomonadati; Pseudomonadota; Gammaproteobacteria; Oceanospirillales; Halomonadaceae
Description: partial 16S ribosomal RNA
Rfam family: Bacterial small subunit ribosomal RNA
Source: RNAcentral